UUGAAAGGGAAACGAUUGAAGUCAGUCGUGCUGGCGCGAAAUCAACCUUCACGUCUUGAGAUCACAUGGCGUGGCGAGCCUCAAAACCGUCACGAAGCGUGAACUCUUGGUGAAAUGGAGCACUUUCGUGUCCGCUGGUUAACAUCAAUUUCGAACGUCAUAAAAAGGCUGGAGGGAUGUGGCUCCUUCGGGAGUGUUAUAACCUUUAGCGGAAUGUGGUGUUCGGGAUUGAGGACUGCAACGAAUACCUUUAGGGCUGUUCCACCUGGCUUCUCUUUGGUAUCCUGGUGACGACAGCUUGCUGACGUCGUUAGGAUUCGCCUUUGAACAGGCUAGAGUGUGAGCAAAUUCGUUAAGGAUGUUGACGUA
RNAcentral lists this ribosomal RNA (369 nucleotides) under uncultured Glomeromycotina. RNAcentral's name for it is "LSU rRNA". Lineage: Eukaryota; Fungi; Glomeromycota. The record is from RNAcentral.